Molecule: long non-coding RNA, 153 nt
Filed under: dengue virus type 1
Lineage: Riboviria; Orthornavirae; Kitrinoviricota; Flasuviricetes; Amarillovirales; Flaviviridae
Description: Dengue virus 1 partial sfRNA1
Source: RNAcentral
AAGAAGUCAGGCCGGAUUAAGCCAUAGUACGGUAAGAGCUAUGCUGCCUGUGAGCCCCGUCCAAGGACGUAAAAUGAAGUCAGGCCGAAAGCCACGGUUUGAGCAAGCCGUGCUGCCUGUAGCUCCAUCGUGGGGAUGUAAAAACCCGGGAGG